RNAcentral lists this ribosomal RNA (253 nucleotides) under uncultured bacterium. RNAcentral's name for it is "partial 16S ribosomal RNA". It matches the Rfam family "Bacterial small subunit ribosomal RNA", at positions 524 to 776 of the family's 1533-position model. The record is from RNAcentral.
UACGAAGGUCCCAAGCGUUAUCCGGAUUCAUUGGGUUUAAAGGGAGCGUAGGUGGACUGAUAAGUCAGUGGUGAAAUCUUUGGGCUUAACCCAAAAAUUGCCAUUGAUACUGUUGGUCUUGAGUAUAGUUGCCGUUGGCGGAAUAUGACAUGUAGUGGUGAAAUACAUAGAGAUGUCAUAGAACACCGAUUGCGAAGGCAGCUGACGAAACUAUAACUGACACUGAGGCUCGAAAGUGUGGGGAUCAAACAGG